GGGGUUGUGCCGCAGGCGCGGCGCCCCGGCUACGGUCCGGGGCGGGGAGCGGUCACCCGCUCCGCGCGGGUCUGUCGCU
This 79-nucleotide transfer RNA is filed under the name Methylobacterium frigidaeris. RNAcentral's name for it is "tRNA-Arg". The record is from RNAcentral. Lineage: Bacteria; Pseudomonadati; Pseudomonadota; Alphaproteobacteria; Hyphomicrobiales; Methylobacteriaceae.